This 1402-nucleotide ribosomal RNA is filed under the name uncultured bacterium. RNAcentral describes it as "bacterial SSU rRNA". It matches the Rfam family "Bacterial small subunit ribosomal RNA". The record is from RNAcentral.
AGAGUUUGAUCCUGGCUCAGAUUGAACGCUGGCGGCAGGCCUAACACAUGCAAGUCGAACGGUAACAGGAAGAAGCUUGCUUCUUUGCUGACGAGUGGCGGACGGGUGAGUAAUGUCUGGGAAACUGCCUGAUGGAGGGGGAUAACUACUGGAAACGGUAGCUAAUACCGCAUAACGUCGCAAGACCAAAGAGGGGGACCUUCGGGCCUCUUGCCAUCGGAUGUGCCCAGAUGGGAUUAGCUAGUAGGUGGGGUAACGGCUCACCUAGGCGACGAUCCCUAGCUGGUCUGAGAGGAUGACCAGCCACACUGGAACUGAGACACGGUCCAGACUCCUACGGGAGGCAGCAGUGGGGAAUAUUGCACAAUGGGCGCAAGCCUGAUGCAGCCAUGCCGCGUGUAUGAAGAAGGCCUUCGGGUUGUAAAGUACUUUCAGCGGGGAGGAAGGGAGUAAAGUUAAUACCUUUGCUCAUUGACGUUACCCGCAGAAGAAGCACCGGCUAACUCCGUGCCAGCAGCCGCGGUAAUACGGAGGGUGCAAGCGUUAAUCGGAAUUACUGGGCGUAAAGCGCACGCAGGCGGUUUGUUAAGUCAGAUGUGAAAUCCCCGGGCUCAACCUGGGAACUGCAUCUGAUACUGGCAAGCUUGAGUCUCGUAGAGGGGGGUAGAAUUCCAGGUGUAGCGGUGAAAUGCGUAGAGAUCUGGAGGAAUACCGGUGGCGAAGGCGGCCCCCUGGACGAAGACUGACGCUCAGGUGCGAAAGCGUGGGGAGCACCACAAAGUUAGAUACCCUGGUAGUCCACGCCGUAAACGAUGUCGACUUGGAGGUUGUGCCCUUGAGGCGUGGCUUCCGGAGCUAACGCGUUAAGUCGACCGCCUGGGGAGUACGGCCGCAAGGUUAAAACUCAAAUGAAUUGACGGGGGCCCGCACAAGCGGUGGAGCAUGUGGUUUAAUUCGAUGCAACGCGAAGAACCUUACCUGGUCUUGACAUCCACGGAAGUUUUCAGAGAUGAGAAUGUGCCUUCGGGAACCGUGAGACAGGUGCUGCAUGGCUGUCGUCAGCUCGUGUUGUGAAAUGUUGGGUUAAGUCCCGCAACGAGCGCAACCCUUAUCCUUUGUUGCCAGCGGUCCGGCCGGGAACUCAAAGGAGACUGCCAGUGAUAAACUGGAGGAAGGUGGGGAUGACGUCAAGUCAUCAUGGCCCUUACGACCAGGGCUACACACGUGCUACAAUGGCGCAUACAAAGAGAAGCGACCUCGCGAGAGCAAGCGGACCUCAUAAAGUGCGUCGUAGUCCGGAUUGGAGUCUGCAACUCGACUCCAUGAAGUCGGAAUCGCUAGUAAUCGUGGAUCAGAAUGCCACGGUGAAUACGUUCCCGGGCCUUGCACACACCGCCCGUCA